This 389-nucleotide ribosomal RNA is filed under the name uncultured bacterium. Its description in RNAcentral is "bacterial SSU rRNA". It matches the Rfam family "Bacterial small subunit ribosomal RNA", at positions 28 to 417 of the family's 1533-position model. The record is from RNAcentral.
AUUGAACGCUGGCGGCAUGCUUUACACAUGCAAGUCGAACGGCAGCGGGGGCUUCGGCCUGCCGGCGAGUGGCGAACGGGUGAGUAAUGCAUCGGAACGUGCCCAUGUCGUGGGGGAUAACGUAGCGAAAGCUACGCUAAUACCGCAUACGUCCUGAGGGAGAAAGCGGGGGAUCUUCGGACCUCGCGCGAUUGGAGCGGCCGAUGUCGAAUUAGCUAGUAGGUGGGGUAAAGGCCCACCUAGGCGACGAUCCGUAGCGGGUCUGAGAGGAUGAUCCGCCACACUGGGACUGAGACACGGCCCAGACUCCUACGGGAGGCAGCAGUGGGGAAUUUUGGGACAAUGGGCGCAAGCCUGAUCCAGCCAUGCCGCGUGAGUGAAGAAGGCCU